This 254-nucleotide ribosomal RNA is filed under the name uncultured Alphaproteobacteria bacterium. RNAcentral describes it as "partial 16S ribosomal RNA". It matches the Rfam family "Bacterial small subunit ribosomal RNA", at positions 9 to 281 of the family's 1533-position model. The record is from RNAcentral. Lineage: Bacteria; Pseudomonadati; Pseudomonadota; Alphaproteobacteria.
GAGUUUGAUCUUGGCUCAGAACGAACGCUGGCGGCAUGCCUAACACAUGCAAGUCGAACGGGAUCCAGGCUUCGGCCUGGUGAGAGUGGCGGACGGGUGAGUAACGCGUGGGAACCUGCCCAAUGGUCUGGGAUAACCGCGGGAAACUGCGGCUAAUACCGGAUAAGCCCGAGAGGGGAAAGAUUUAUCGCCGAUGGAGGGGCCCGCGUCCGAUUAGGUAGUUGGUGAGGUAACGGCUCACCAAGCCGACGAUC